This 429-nucleotide ribosomal RNA is filed under the name Gemmatimonadota bacterium. Its description in RNAcentral is "Gemmatimonadetes bacterium partial 16S ribosomal RNA". It matches the Rfam family "Bacterial small subunit ribosomal RNA", at positions 355 to 776 of the family's 1533-position model. The record is from RNAcentral. Lineage: Bacteria; Pseudomonadati; Gemmatimonadota.
UAGGGAAUCUUCGGCAAUGGACGAAAGUCUGACCGAGCAACGCCGCGUGAGUGAAGAAGGUUUUCGGAUCGUAAAACUCUGUUGUUAGAGAAGAACAAGGACGUUAGUAACUGAACGUCCCCUGACGGUAUCUAACCAGAAAGCCACGGCUAACUACGUGCCAGCAGCCGCGGUAAUACGUAGGUGGCAAGCGUUGUCCGGAUUUAUUGGGCGUAAAGCGAGCGCAGGCGGUUUCUUAAGGCUGAUGUGAAAGCCCCCGGCUCAACCGGGGAGGGUCAUUGGAAACUGGGAGACUUGAGUGCAGAAGAGGAGAGUGGAAUUCCAUGUGUAGCGGUGAAAUGCGUAGAUAUAUGGAGGAACACCAGUGGCGAAGGCGGCUCUCUGGUCUGUCACUGACGCUGAGGCUCGAAAGCGUGGGGAGCAAACAGG